This 117-nucleotide microRNA precursor is filed under the name Dichanthelium oligosanthes. RNAcentral's name for it is "MIR397 microRNA precursor family". It matches the Rfam family "MIR397 microRNA precursor family". Lineage: Eukaryota; Viridiplantae; Streptophyta; Magnoliopsida; Poales; Poaceae. The record is from Rfam by way of RNAcentral.
CGCAGAGGCAUCAUUGAGUGCAGCGUUGAUGAGCCGGCCCGGCCCGGGCAGGCCGCCGCCGACCCGAUCACGGCCCUCGCCGGCGGCUCACCAGCGCUGCACUCAAUUACGCCUUUG